Molecule: ribosomal RNA, 443 nt
Filed under: uncultured Azorhizobium sp.
Lineage: Bacteria; Pseudomonadati; Pseudomonadota; Alphaproteobacteria; Hyphomicrobiales; Xanthobacteraceae
Description: bacterial SSU rRNA
Rfam family: Bacterial small subunit ribosomal RNA
Source: RNAcentral
UUGCCUACGGAGGCUGCAGUGGGGAAUAUUGGACAAUGGGCGCAAGCCUGAUCCAGCCAUGCCGCGUGAGUGAUGAAGGCCUUAGGGUUGUAAAGCUCUUUCGCCGGUGAAGAUAAUGACGGUAACCGGAGAAGAAGCCCCGGCUAACUUCGUGCCAGCAGCCGCGGUAAUACGAAGGGGGCUAGCGUUGCUCGGAAUCACUGGGCGUAAAGCGCACGUAGGCGGAUCGUUAAGUCAGGGGUGAAAUCCUGGAGCUCAACUCCAGAACUGCCCUUGAUACUGGCGAUCUCGAGUUCGAGAGAGGUUGGUGGAACUCCGAGUGUAGAGGUGAAAUUCGUAGAUAUUCGGAAGAACACCAGUGGCGAAGGCGGCCAACUGGCUCGAUACUGACGCUGAGGUGCGAAAGCGUGGGGAGCAAACAGGAUUAGAUACCCGGGUAGUCG